AUUGAACGCUGGCGGCAGGCCUAACACAUGCAAGUCGAACGAGUGGCGGACGGGUGAGUAAUGCCUGGGAAUCUAGCUUAUGGAGGGGGAUAACUACGGGAAACUGUAGCUAAUACCGCGUACCAUAGGAUGAGCCCAAAUGGGAUUAGGUAGUUGGUGGGGUAAAGGCUCACCAAGCCGACGAUCCCUAGCUGGUCUGAGAGGAUGACCAGCCACACUGGGACUGGGACACGGCCCAGACUCCUACGGGAGGCAGCAGUGGGGAAUAUUGCACAAUUGGGGCAACCCUGAUGCAGCCAUGCCGCGUGAAUGAAGAAGGCCUUCGGGUUGUAAAGUACUUUCAGUGGGGAGGCGUUAACGACAGAAGAAGCACCGGCUAACUCCGUGCCAGCAGCCGCGGUAAUUC
RNAcentral lists this ribosomal RNA (406 nucleotides) under uncultured bacterium. RNAcentral's name for it is "partial 16S ribosomal RNA". It matches the Rfam family "Bacterial small subunit ribosomal RNA", at positions 30 to 526 of the family's 1533-position model. The record is from RNAcentral.